Molecule: long non-coding RNA, 358 nt
Organism: Capsella rubella
Lineage: Eukaryota; Viridiplantae; Streptophyta; Magnoliopsida; Brassicales; Brassicaceae
Exons: 2
Source: RefSeq, a predicted model, not a curated record
UUCUUAACAGAAAUAAACCUGAAAGAUUUAUAUGAUGAAUAUCACAAAGAACUCUGUCACAUUUUUUCUUGUCAUAAUACUGACAAUUUCGUUAUUAGACAACAAUGUUUUAGCCGCAGGACCACCAAACUGUUUUGCUAAAUGUGCAAUAGGAUAUUAUGAAGAUUAUGAAUGCCACAUUGACUGUGCAAUGAAAAAUUAUCGUACUGGACAUUGUGUUCCAAAUAAGAGCACUGGAAAAUGUUGUUGCACUAGUUGGUGAUUUAAGCGAUGAACUAUGUUUUUAUGAGCUUUUAUGGUUUUGGUUUCCAAUUGAAAUAUGUACUAAAUUCAUCAAAAUAAAAACUAUUUUACUAUA